ACAUGCAAGUCGAACGGUAGCACGCCUUCGGGCGCUGACGAGUGGCGGACGGGUGAGUAACGCGUAGGAAUCUGCCUGGUAGUGGGGGACAACGUGGGGAAACUCACGCUAAUACCGCAUACGCUCCUGAUUGAAAGAUGGGGAGGAAAGCGGGGGCUCUUCGGACCUCGCGCUAUCAGAUGAGCCUGCGUUAGAUUAGCUAGUUGGUAGGGUAAAGGCCUACCAAGGCGACGAUCUAUAGCUGGUCUGAGAGGACGAUCAGCCACACUGGGACUGAGACACGGCCCAGACUCCUACGGGAGGCAGCAGUGGGGAAUAUUGGACAAUGGGCGCAAGCCUGAUCCAGCAAUACCGCGUGUGUGAAGAAGGCCUUCGGGUUGUAAAGCACUUUCAAUGGGGAGGAAAACCUGCCGGCCAAUACCCGGCAGCUUGACAUUACCUAUAGAAGAAGCACCGGCUAACUCCGUGCCAGCAGCCGCGGUAAUACGGAGGGUGCGAGCGUUAAUCGGAAUUACUGGGCGUAAAGCGUGCGUAGGCGGUUCGUUAAGUCAGAUGUGAAAGCCCCGGGCUUAACCUGGGAACGGCAUUUGAUACUGGUUAACUAGAGUUUAAUAGAGGGGAGUGGAAUUUCAGGUGUAGCGGUGAAAUGCGUAGAUAUCUGAAGGAACACCAGUGGCGAAGGCGACUCCCUGGAUUAAAACUGACGCUGAGGUACGAAAGCGUGGGUAGCAAACAGGAUUAGAUACCCUGGUAGUCC
This 757-nucleotide ribosomal RNA is filed under the name uncultured bacterium. Its description in RNAcentral is "bacterial SSU rRNA". It matches the Rfam family "Bacterial small subunit ribosomal RNA", at positions 53 to 796 of the family's 1533-position model. The record is from RNAcentral.